RNAcentral lists this ribosomal RNA (215 nucleotides) under uncultured bacterium. Its description in RNAcentral is "partial 16S ribosomal RNA". It matches the Rfam family "Bacterial small subunit ribosomal RNA", at positions 1288 to 1500 of the family's 1533-position model. The record is from RNAcentral.
UCAGUUCGGACUGUAGGCUGCAACUCGCCUACACGAAGCUGGAAUCGCUAGUAAUCGCGGAUCAGCACGCCGCGGUGAAUACGUUCCCGGGCCUUGUACACACCGCCCGUCACACCAUGAGAGUCUGUAACACCCAAAGCCGGUGGGAUAACCUUUAUAGGAGUCAGCCGUCUAAGGUAGGACAGAUGAUUAGGGUGAAGUCGUAACAAGGUACC